This 490-nucleotide ribosomal RNA is filed under the name uncultured bacterium. Its description in RNAcentral is "partial 16S ribosomal RNA". It matches the Rfam family "Bacterial small subunit ribosomal RNA", at positions 30 to 507 of the family's 1533-position model. The record is from RNAcentral.
AUUGAACGCUGGCGGCAGGCCUAACACAUGCAAGUCGAACGGUAACAGGAAGCAGCUUGCUGCUUUGCUGACGAGUGGCGGACGGGUGAGUAAUGUCUGGGAAACUGCCCGAUGGAGGGGGAUAACUACUGGAAACGGUAGCUAAUACCGCAUAACGUCGCAAGACCAAAGAGGGGGACCUUAGGGCCUCUUGCCAUCGGAUGUGCCCAGAUGGGAUUAGCUAGUAGGUGGGGUAACGGCUCACCUAGGCGACGAUCCCUAGCUGGUCUGAGAGGAUGACCAGCCACACUGGAACUGGGACACGGUCCAGACUCCUACGGGAGGCAGCAGUGGGGAAUAUUGCACAACGGGCGCAAGCCUGAUGCAGCCAUGCCGCGUGUAUGAAGAAGGCCUUCGGGUUGUAAAGUACUUUCAGCGGGGAGGAAGGGAGUAAAGUUAAUACCUUUGCUCAUUGACGUUACCCGCAGAAGAAGCACCGGCUAACUCCGUG